Ruditapes philippinarum (Manila clam) is the source of this 898-nucleotide long non-coding RNA. RefSeq lists it as uncharacterized. The record is from RefSeq and is a predicted model, not a curated record. NCBI's taxonomy places the organism in Eukaryota, Metazoa, Mollusca, Bivalvia, Venerida, Veneridae. The transcript has 3 exons.
UUGUUUGUUUUGCACGUGCUGUUUGGCGCUACAUUGUGACGUCAUGUAAACAAUAUUUUAAACGUCUGUACAGCGUUAACGACUGAAUAAAAGAUAUUGGUGUUCGGAUUCAUUUUCUUAGUUAGACCAUUUUCUUUCAUUCUAGAUAGUUUUCACAACAAAAUUCGACAAAAAAUUGUUUUUAUUUAUCAGAUUUCAAACAAAAUGGCGCCUUCGAUUUUCAUUUUUUAUACACAGCUUCCGUUAUUCUGGUUCCUUGUCCAAUUAUGGUUCCCAUAGACGUGCGCGUGUGACCAGUCUACACAUCCGUUUUCAGUCAGAAUUCCUCAGUUUUUACCGUUAUCUUUAAAUUCGAAAGGUUGCGAUGUGUCCAAUUCGGUACUUUGGACGAAUGUUUUCAAAACCAUCACUUAGCAGGUACUCGCGUUACCGUAAAGCUCGCUUUGCGAGCAGGCCCUUCGGGCCAGCUCGUCGAGCUCGCUAUUAAAACACGUCAUCGAGAAAGGAGUGUUGCCCGAUGAACUUGGAGCUAGGAAAAGGAAGUCAGUUCUUUACUCAUUAACGUUACUUGCAAGAUACCUUUCAGAAUUCGAUCUUAAACGAGAAGUUGUAGAGAAAUAUGCUGAGGACCAAAGUACAAGUGAGUUAGAAUGGUCAAGUGUUCUAAGUGCACAUUUAUUGAAGAAACUUUCACCUGUAAAGGAUGCAACACUAAAUGAUGACGGGUACUCCAAAUUGAAAAACUGCCCCUGUAACUGUGGAACACAGAUAAAUUUUGGAGACACAAGUCUUGGUAAUGCUUGUGUAUGGCAUGGAAGUGUAGACAUAAUUUGUGAUGAUGUCAUAAUUGAUGUAGCAGAUUCCUUUCCGAACAACCCUGAUAUUAUCUCUAUUGAUG